RNAcentral lists this ribosomal RNA (482 nucleotides) under uncultured bacterium G81. RNAcentral's name for it is "bacterial SSU rRNA". It matches the Rfam family "Bacterial small subunit ribosomal RNA", at positions 27 to 504 of the family's 1533-position model. The record is from RNAcentral.
GGACGAUCGCUGGCGGCGUGCCUNAUANAUGCAANUCGAGCGGGGAGGUUUGCGGAAGCCCUUCGGGGUGGAAGCGGACGUCCCAGCGGCGGACGGGUGAGUAACGCGUAGGGAACCUGCCCUCAAGUCUGGGAUAACCCGGGGGAAACCCGGGCUAAUACCGGAUGANGCCACGAGGCCGCAUGGCCUUGUGGUNAAAGGGGAAACCCGCUUGAGGAUGGCCCUGCGUCCCAUUAGCUAGUUAGUAGGGUAACAGCCUACCAAGGCGACGAUGGGUAGCCGGCCUGAGAGGGUGGACGGCCACACUGGCACUAAGACACGGGCCAGACUCCUACCGGAGGCUCCAGUACGGAAUCUUGCGCAAUGGGCGAAAGCCUGACGCAGCGACACCACGUGGGGGAAGAAGGCCUUCGGGUCGUAAACCCCUGUCNGAGGGGACGAANGACGUNACGGUNCCCUCCAAGGAAGCCCCGGCUAACUAC